RNAcentral lists this ribosomal RNA (253 nucleotides) under uncultured bacterium. RNAcentral's name for it is "partial 16S ribosomal RNA". It matches the Rfam family "Bacterial small subunit ribosomal RNA", at positions 524 to 776 of the family's 1533-position model. The record is from RNAcentral.
UACAGAGGUCUCAAGCGUUGUUCGGAUUCAUUGGGCGUAAAGGGUGCGUAGGUGGCAUGGUAAGUCGGAUGUGAAAUCCCGGGGCUCAACCCCGGAACUGCAUUCGAUACUGCUGCGCUAGAGUACUGGAGAGGAGAUUGGAAUUUACGGUGUAGCAGUGAAAUGCGUAGAUAUCAGGAGGAACACCUGUGGCGAAAGCGGCUCACUGGACCAUAACUGACGCUGAUGCACGAAAGCUAGGGGAGCAAACAGG